GAUGAACGCUAGCUACAGGCUUAACACAUGCAAGUCGAGGGGAAACGACAUCGAAAGCUUGCUUUUGAUGGGCGUCGACCGGCGCACGGGUGAGUAACGCGUAUCCAACCUGCCCACCACUUGGGGAUAACCUUGCGAAAGUAAGACUAAUACCCAAUGAUAUCCCACGAAGGCAUCCGAAUGGGAUUAAAGAUUUAUCGGUGAUGGAUGGGGAUGCGUCUGAUUAGCUUGUUGGCGGGGUAACGGCCCACCAAGGCUACGAUCAGUAGGGGUUCUGAGAGGAAGGUCCCCCACAUUGGAACUGAGACACGGUCCAAACUCCUACGGGAGGCAGCAGUGAGGAAUAUGGUCAAUGGGCGAGAGCCUGAACCAGCCAAGUAGCGUGCAGGAUGACGGCCCUAUGGGUUGUAAACUGCUUUUAUAAGGGAAUAAAAGUGGGUCUCGUGAGACUUUUUGCAUGUACCUUAUGAAUAAGGACCGGCUAAUCCGUGCCAGCAGCGC
Molecule: ribosomal RNA, 501 nt
Filed under: uncultured bacterium
Lineage: Bacteria
Description: bacterial SSU rRNA
Rfam family: Bacterial small subunit ribosomal RNA
Source: RNAcentral